AUGCAUCUAGGAAUUGCCUUCAUCCUCACGCCACUAAGACAGACGGGGAGUGCUCAUCACGGUUUCCUCGCGCCACCAUUAGAUGAGAAGGGUUUCGCCAUUGUGGGAACCAUGAGGCAAGGAGGAGAUAAGAUGAUGGAAGGACGCAGCAAGGAGGAUAGGAGGCGACGCGGACAAAAUUGGAAAGGGACCGGGGAAGGGAAGGAGGAGGCGGCGGGGUGGCUGCAGCUGUCGACGAUGCAGGAGGGGACUGUGGGGUUUGGCGGCGACCCGAUGCAGUUGUCACGACGCAGGAGGAAAGCAGUGGCGGCGGCAAACACAACCCUAAUCGCAAGAUCAUGGGCGUGCCAAGGUUGA
RNAcentral lists this ribosomal RNA (357 nucleotides) under Triticum aestivum (bread wheat). RNAcentral describes it as "partial small subunit ribosomal RNA". The record is from RNAcentral. Lineage: Eukaryota; Viridiplantae; Streptophyta; Magnoliopsida; Poales; Poaceae.